AGGCCAUGUUUCUUCAGGGAAGGAAUAAAAUGUCUGUGCUAGGUUUUUGUAGGAAUAUUUUAAUAGACUACUGAAUCAUGAAAACAUAUUUUCAAAAUUGAAAAUUGUAUUAUGCUUCCAGAACAUGUGAGUGGCUUCUUAACAUUUUAGCAGCACAUUUUGAAAAUACAUAUCCAGAUUUAAUAAUCAUUAGGGAUAUGAUUUUCUUUUAAAUAUAAGGUCACUUUUAUCUGCUUUGUUUUGUUUUGUUUUUCCUUAAUCUUACUUGAACAUCAUUUUUACUAACAUCCUCUGUGAUUUUUCCUUGGAUCUUUGUCAAAAAAUAAUUGACGUAUGUAUGCAUUUCUGAGCAACCUAUUUGAUUCUAUUGAUCUCUUUGUACUUAGACCAAAAUCACGCCCUCUUCAUUAAUGUAGUGAGAUAGUAAGUUUUGAAAUCUGGUUCAAUAAACUUUCCAACUUGAAUCUUCUUCAAGAUUGUCUAGGUUAUUCUAAAUCAAAUUUAAUCAAAUAUAAGUUUUAAAAUAAUUUUGUAAAUUUUCGCAAAAAUAAAGCUGUUGAAGUUGGUUAGGAUUGUGUUGAAUCAAUGUAAUAGUUUGGGGAGAAUUUGACAUCUUAACAAAAUAUGAUAUACAAGUGCGUUUAAGGCUUUGUACAUUUCUGUCAGCAGCAUGAUGUGAAAAUAUUUGACUCUUCUUUGACAAUUAAUAUAUUUGAGGUUAUUUUAAAUGAAAUUUUAAAUUGCAUUUUUAAUUAUAUGUUGCCAGUAUGUUGAAAUUUAUUGAUUUUUAUGAUCUAGCAGUCUUAUUUAAUUCAUUUAUGAAUACUCAUUCAUUUUAUAGAUUCUCUUGGAUUUUACAUUAAUCAUGUCAAUUGCACAAAAUCUUUAUGCCUUUUAAAUCUUUAUUUUGUUUUAUUACACUGGUUAGGAAUUCCCUUAUAAUGAUGAACCAAAGAGUGAAUGAAAGCACAUCCUUGGCUUUUGUCUGUUUUGAGGAGAGCAAGUUUGAUAAUUAACCAUUAAUUGUAAGAUACCAAUAGGUUAUUUGUCAAUAGUUUUUAUAAGUUUGGAAAAAUUUGCUUCUAAUCCUAGAUUACUGGGUGUUUUAUCAGAAUAUGUGUCGAAUUAUAUCAUAUCUUUUUUUCUUUAUUUGUUUUAGUGGCUAUUUGGUUUUUUUUCUUUAUUCUGUUAAUGUGAUGAUUUUAACAAAUGGAAAAACAAACUUGCAUUCUUGAAAUACACUGCACUUGACAUGAUUCUUACUGAUUUCUCAUUUUGUUCUACCACUAUCUAAAUGAAGUGUAUUAAAAUAUCUAAUUAUGUUUGUGAUUUAUUUCCCUUUUUCCCAUAUUCCCUUUUUGAAAAGUAUGUUUGUAAUUCAUAUUAUUACUAUAUUUCCUGUUGAGUGGCCUUUUUUCAUCUUUAUGAAAUGUCCCUUUGUAUUUCUAAUACUUCUUGCAUUAAAGUCUACUUUGUGUGAUAUUAACAUAGACAUUUAAAUUUUCUUUUGGUUAGGAUUUUCAGCUUUUUACUUUCUAAUGAAUUAUGUCCUUAAUUU
Equus caballus (horse) is the source of this 1558-nucleotide long non-coding RNA. NCBI's taxonomy places the organism in Eukaryota, Metazoa, Chordata, Mammalia, Perissodactyla, Equidae. The record is from Ensembl.